Glossina brevipalpis is the source of this 89-nucleotide non-coding RNA. Lineage: Eukaryota; Metazoa; Arthropoda; Insecta; Diptera; Glossinidae. The record is from Rfam.
GGAGUAGGUUUAGUACGUAGGCGUCACGGAUGACGAAUCGUGCAUGGUACUGGCACGGGCUAAUAAUAUCUAUGAAGAUUCCCAUCUCC